UAUUUGAAUUUGCCCAUUAAAUAAAUGGUUUCUUCAAGUGAAAAGCCUCACGCUGUCCAGAUUUUCUUAAUUUUCUUUUCUUAAACGACUGCUAUUAAAAAUGUAGUAGUUGCAUUAUAAACUGUAACGUUCCACUCUAAAGGAUGAUCCAAUAUUCAGGAAUAAAAUAUUAUUUCAGCUUCCUCAUUAGUAAUUAAUUGGAUUUCAAUAACUUGUUGCAUCUUAUCGUUGCUGAAACUCAUAAUCCCUGAUGAGUAUGCUUUUUCAAUCUACCCUGUGGUUAUGGAUUUUAAAAAUGUAUACUAAGGGCCAUCAUUACAGAACACCUUUACUGUUCAUUGUCCAGUCUAUAGAAGGUAACAUCACCAGUACAAUUAAAGAGAUUUUAAAGGAAUGCUACAACAUCAAUUCAAUUGCAACAAGAAACUUCUAAUUAUAAUUUGACUUGAAACCUAAUUUUUGAAAAUGUUUCCUAUUAAGUUAUAAUAAAUGAAGAAUGAUGAAAUAAUUUGGUAUCAGUUUAGAUUCUUGCUAAAAAAAUGAACUUUCAGCUAAUGUAAGACAUUAGACACUCGUUUUGUCUUAAUUUAAUAAUAAAGUGUAAAAUCUCCAUAGUGAAUGAACUAUAUUUAAUCUUAAAAAACUCGCUUGUAUAUGAUUUGAAAUUAAGGCAUUUGUUAAACCUUUAAUAUGAUUGCACAUCCUAAAAUUAUUGAAUUUUUUCACCUUUCACUUUUCUCUGUUUUUUUCUGCAAUCAAGGAGGUUUUACAAUUUUUCUCUUAGCCUUUCACAAUCGAGUGAUUCAAUCGAUGUUUAAGAUUGUGAAAAUAUAGAUUGUGUUACAAUAACCAUCCUAAUCUUUACAAAACAAAAUUAUGAACGGAAAGAUAUGUACCAUCCAAAAGUUUGCUAACACACAGAGAAAAAUAUUCUUGUAGAUAAAAUUAUCGUAUUGUGUGGUAAUGACAAUUUUGAUAAAAAGAACAACAUAUUCUGGUAAUGAAAAUCAAAAUAUAUACGGUAUUGAAACCAUUCAUUUGGUACAUUUUCUCUUCAUAUGGUACUGAAUUAACGGAAAUUGUAGUUUUUAAAAAUAUAAUUCUUAUUCCCUCACAUUUAGUAAAAAAAAAGAGCAUUAAGAAGUUAUUUUAACCGGAUCAAUGA
Parasteatoda tepidariorum (common house spider) is the source of this 1165-nucleotide non-coding RNA. Lineage: Eukaryota; Metazoa; Arthropoda; Arachnida; Araneae; Theridiidae. The record is from RefSeq and is a predicted model, not a curated record.